AUUGAACGCUGGCGGCAGGCCUAACACAUGCAAGUCGAGCGGAUGAAGGGAGCUUUCUCCUGGAUUCCGCGGCGGACGGGUGAGUAAUGCCUAGGAAUCUGCCUUGUAUUGGGGGAUAACGUCCGUUAACGGGCGCUGAUACCGCAUACGUCCUGAUGUAGAAAGUGGGGGAUCUUCGGACCUCACGCUAUCAGAUGACCCUAGGUCGGAUUAGCUAGUUGGUGUGGUAAAGGCCUACCAAGGCGACGAUCCGUAACUGGUCUGAGAGGAUGAUCAGUCACACUGGAACUGAGACACGGUCCAGACUCCUACGGGAGGCAGCAGUGGGGAAUAUUGGACAAUGGGCGAAAGCCUGAUCCAGCCAUGCCGCGUGUGUGAAGAAGGUCUUCGGAUUGUAAAGCACUGUAAGUUGGGAGGAAGGGAAGUAAGUUAAUACCUGGCUGUUUUGACGGUACCAACAGAAUAAGCACCGGCUAACUUCGUG
This 484-nucleotide ribosomal RNA is filed under the name uncultured bacterium. RNAcentral describes it as "partial 16S ribosomal RNA". It matches the Rfam family "Bacterial small subunit ribosomal RNA", at positions 30 to 507 of the family's 1533-position model. The record is from RNAcentral.